AACGCACAUUGCACUCUUUUAGAGUAUGCCUGUUUGAGAAUCUAAUGUAUUUCUUUUAUCUUUUUAAAACUUUAGUUUUAUCAAAAGGUAAAGAUGUGAAGGUCUCUCUUAAGAGUCCUUUGAAAAUGAUUACUAUAACUAAAUGGUUUAUCUAUAAUGACACUGUUUACGUUUUGGUAACUGAAAUGUAUUUGACUGAAACUGUGGUUUCUUUAUUGUACAAAUUAAGUUAUUGUUAAAUGGUUAGUAGGUAAAUUUGUUGUAGUCUUUUUUUAAAAAGAGUACUAAACAUACUUUUUUGAACCUUGGUCUCAAAUCAGGUAGGGCUACCCGCUGAACUUAA
Molecule: unclassified non-coding RNA, 343 nt
Filed under: uncultured fungus
Lineage: Eukaryota; Fungi
Description: partial contains 5.8S ribosomal RNA, internal transcribed spacer 2, and large subunit ribosomal RNA
Source: RNAcentral